AGCGGGGUAGGGCAGCCAGGAGUGCCCGGAGGGCUCAUAACCCUCAGGUCGGUGGUUCAAAUCCACUCCCCGCUACCA
RNAcentral lists this transfer RNA (78 nucleotides) under Candidatus Woesearchaeota archaeon. RNAcentral's name for it is "tRNA-Met". It matches the Rfam family "tRNA". Rfam says of the family: Transfer RNA (tRNA) molecules are approximately 80 nucleotides in length. Their secondary structure includes four short double-helical elements and three loops (D, anti-codon, and T loops). Lineage: Archaea; Nanobdellati; Candidatus Woesearchaeota. The record is from RNAcentral.